Molecule: ribosomal RNA, 482 nt
Filed under: uncultured bacterium
Lineage: Bacteria
Description: partial 16S ribosomal RNA
Rfam family: Bacterial small subunit ribosomal RNA
Source: RNAcentral
GACGAACGCUGGCGGCGUGCCUAACACAUGCAAGUCGAACGGAACUGUUUUGAAAGAUUUCUUCGGAAUGAAUUUGAUUUAGUUUAGUGGCGGACGGGUGAGUAACGCGUGAGUAACCUGCCUUCAAGAGGGGAAUAACAUUCUGAAAAGAAUGCUAAUACCGCAUGACAUAUCGGAACCACAUGGUUUUGAUAUCAAAGAUUUUAUCGCUUGAAGAUGGACUCGCGUCCGAUUAGUUAGUUGGUGAGGUAACGGCUCACCAAGACCGCGAUCGGUAGCCGGACUGAGAGGUUGAACGGCCACAUUGGGACUGAGACACGGCCCAGACUCCUACGGGAGGCAGCAGUGGGGGAUAUUGCGCAAUGGGGGCAACCCUGACGCAGUAACGCCGCGUGAAGGAUGAAGGUUUUCGGAUUGUAAACUUCUUUUAUUAAGGACGAAAAAUGACGGUACUUAAUGAAUAAGCUCCGGCUAACUACGUG